CCCUUGCUCUGUAAAAGCAAGCUCUCUUCCUGUUCUUUGGAUUUGCUAUGGUCUGCCAUAGAUUACAUUUCCCAAACUGCAAUUCCUCUGGGUAUUCCAGAGUAAACUCAUUCUGCUACUGAGGAAGACCUUCCUGGGCUUCAGUGACACUUCUCACACUCCAGAGCACCUUCGGCAAAGCUCCCUCUGAGCACGUACAACAGUCUGUUGGCAUUGAGUCUCAGUCUCCUUAGUGCCUGGCACAGAACAGGUUCAGAUGACCCAGGAACACCUUAGAGCCAUCCCAGCGACGUCCCCAGCCCCUUGUUUGAUGGAUUGCUUCUGCAGUCAGUGGCACCAGAUGGCUUGUCCAGUCCACAGUGGAGACAGAAGAACUGUGAUCACUCGUGACGGCGACUCUUGCUUCUUAGGACCUUUUCGGAUUCAGGAAGCAGAAAUCACUUGAACUAAUGUAAGUAAAGAGGAGAAAGGCUUCUGAGGACACUGGAGUGUCACAUAAAGCAGCCCAGUCAUGGAAGGUCAGGGGUCAGAAGCCUUGGACCCCACGGAGCCUGGAAGUGAAGCCCAGCGCUGGCUCUUCCUCUGCUUCUCUCUCUGCUGCAGGCUGGUCUCUGCUUCUCAGCCCCAUGAACAGGAGGCCCGUUGGUCAAGAGUUUAGAGUCUUUCUCCUGUCAAACUAAGGCUGGGGUCCUUGCCGUCUUCUGCCCUGGGAGGCCCAGUUCUGCUCACGGCACCCUCUCUUUUAAUUCCCAUUGACCAAAGCACUCAAAAAGUUCAAAAGUCUUUCCAACAAAAUUGAAACAAAUAAUAAUGUUUUGUCCACUGGUAUUUGUGAUCGUGAGGCCUGGGGCUGGGGCCUCUCUUGCUUAGUAAAGGGAUGUUUGCUGUAAGCCUUAAAUUCCCAAAACCUCUUGAGUCAAUUCAAGUCAACCUAUUAGUACCAAAAACAAAAUUGGAAAGCUCAAUGUUGCCUUUUUUACAUAAUGUCUUUUAAGAAAUUCUGACUGAUGCACGAAAACAUUAAAUAGAAGUAGGGGAAACAAGCAUUAUGUUACAUAUAAAUUUUGUUUUUCUUUUUCUUUUUGUCUUUUUAGGGCCGCACCCGUGGCAUAUGGAGGUUUCCAGGCUAGGGGUCCAACUGGAACUGUGGCCCUGGCUUACGCCACAGCCACAGCAAUUCAGGAUCUGAGCCUGUCUGUGACCUACACUGCAGCUCACGGCAACGCCAGAUCCUUAACCCACUGAGCAAGGCCAGGGAUCGAACCCAGGUCCUCAUGGAUACUAGUCAGAUUUGUUUCUGCUGAGCCAUGAUGGAAACUCACCACAUAAAUUUAAUAUAUAACAAAGGAGGCUUCACAUAGAGAAAGGCAGAGUCGUUUAGUACAUUGUGAGGGAAUUCCUAAUUAGCAAUUCAGAAACAUAUCUCUGGCCCUGACCUCUUUCCAUAUAUCAAAUAGUAAUUUAAUCUUGUAUACAUUCAAGAGUGACACAUUUAACAAUGAACUAUUGGAGAAAAACCAGAAUAGAAGUGAAAUUUAUCAAUCUGUGUACAGAGGAGAACUUUCUAAGUGUAAAUUUUCCAGAAGAAAAAAUGCAAUUGCAAGCUUUUCAAAAAUUAAAAGUGACCACAGUAUAGCCGAAAUAAAAUCAUACAGGAAAACUUACAUAACACAGCCAACAGCAAAGUGGGAAAAGCAAUCACAGCAAGCAAGUCAGGAGUUAAAUCCCUAGCCUGCAAACACUGCACACAAACGGACAGGGAAAAUACUUAAAAUCCUGUCGUUUAAUAAAGGGUAUGAACUGACGGUCCACACAGAAGAGGAAAUAAAACUAAUACGCAGUCAUUAGAAAAUGUGUGGUCACACAAGUCGAAUUAAUGCAAAUUUUAAAUCCAGAAUAAGGUCCUGUUUUCACAUAUUUGUAUCUUUUCUUAAAAAAUGGAAAUACCCGGGAGUUCCUGUCGUGGUGUGGCGAAAACAAUCCCACUAGUAUCCAUGAGGAUGCGGAUUCGAUCCCAGGCCUUGCUCAUCGGGUUUAGAAUCCAGCAUUGCUGUGAGUUGCGGUGUGGUGUAGGUCACAGGCUCGACUUGGAUCUCGUGUUGCUGUGGCUGUGGUGUAGGCCAGCAGCUGCAGUUCUGAUUCAACCGCUAGCCUGGGAACCUCCAUAUGCCACAGGUGUGCCCCCCCCCCAAAAGCAAAUAAAUAAAUAAAUAAUGGAAAUAUCCAAAGCUAGGAGGAAUGUAGAAAAAUAAUGCCAUUUAUUAUUUCGCUGGUGGAACGAUCAAGUAAUAGAAAGAAAGCAAUUUGGGGAACUUGACCCCUUGACUUACUAUUUCUACUUCCUUGAGUCUAAACUGAAGAAAAAUAAUCCACCGUAUUAGCUUUUUUUUUUUUCCCUCCCCCCCCCCCUUUUUUUUUUUUGGUCUGCCCUGAGGCAAAUGGAGUUCCCUGGUCAGGGAUCAGAUCUGAGUUCCAUCCUAAGCCAUAGCUUAGGCAACACCAGCUCCUUAACCCACUGUGCCAGCCCGGGGAUUGAACCUGCAUCUCAGCAUUCCCAAGACGCCUCCAGUCCCAUUGUGCCACAGCAGGAACUUCCUGAAGAGAUAAUCCAAAAUGGAAACAAAUAUAUUCACUGUAGUGAUAUUUGAUAAGGAAGAAAAAUUGAAAGCAAACAUAGGGUUCAAUGCUUAGCAGAUUAUGGUCCAUUUGCUCAUGCACACAAACAUUUACUGAGCACCUACUGUCUGCCAGGUUCUGUGCAAGAAGCUGAAGAAACAAAGAUGGGCCAGACAGAUUCUAUAAAGGGCAUAUUACAUGGCAGGCAUGAGAGUGGGGAGCGAGCAGGGAGUAGGCAUUUAUUGAGGAGCUAUUUACAUAUAUCACCACACUUAAUCUGAGGUCCUGAGCCACACAGUCCUUGAGUGAUAAAUUGGGGCAGGAAGCAGCCAGCAGAGAAGGGUCAUACAGCAUGCCUGGGGGAGAUACAGAACCCGCCUGAAUUUUGUUCUUUCUCUCGUCCAUCUCUGGUCCUCAGUCCUUGUCUCUCAGAUCACCCUGGGAACAAUGAUGCGUGACAGAUUUUGGCUGUAAGAAGGAACUUCAAGGCUCCCAAACAACUAAGUCCAGUCCCCUGCAGGGCAGAUUCUAGAGCCACUACCAGCUAAGAAUUCCAAAGAUUUUUCCUUUUAGCAUCCCUAGGAAUUCCUUUCUCUCCCUGCCCCUGCCCGUCAGCUUGCAUCUCAAAUUUACUAGAGUGCUCUGCCAAUUAAGUUUGCUCUAUUUGACAGAAUCCCAUCUCCUGUAAGCUGGUUGGGGUUAUAAAUAACACAAUAAAUUUUCACGUACAAAAUGUGCCAGCAAACAAACCAAAAGCUUUAAUGGUUCUCCAAUACCUAAUAACACAUUUAGACACCUAACAAUGAUUUUCCAGAGCCUCUGUUAUCACCUGUUGCUCCUGAAAACAUCAUCUCCAUUCCAUUUAAUAAGCCACCUUGGAGCCAAGAACUUGGUUUUAGAAAUGAGGAUAUAAGGCAAUACAAUAAUAAAAUCAGAAAUGCAAAUUUGCAGAGUUUCCAUUGUGGCUCAGUGGGUUAAGGACCUGAUGUUUUCUCUGUGAGGAUGCAGGUUCGAUCCCUGGCCUUGCUCAGUGAGGUAAGGCUCUGACAUUGCCACAAGCUGCAGUGUACAUCACAGAUAUGGCUUGGGUCCAGUGUUGCUGUGGCAGUGACAUAGGCUGCAGUCAUAGCUCUAGUUCAGCCCCUAGCCUGGGAACUUCUAUAUGCUGCAGGUAUGGCUGUAAAAGAAAAAAUGCAAAUUUAAGUCGAUAAUGAAAGAAAUGCAAAUGAUGUGAAGAGUAU
This 3857-nucleotide long non-coding RNA is filed under the name Sus scrofa (pig). RNAcentral's name for it is "lncRNA (ENSSSCG00050011084.1)". The record is from RNAcentral. Lineage: Eukaryota; Metazoa; Chordata; Mammalia; Artiodactyla; Suidae.